UACGUAGGGGGCAAGCGUUGUCCGGAAUCAUUGGGCGUAAAGAGCGUGUAGGCGGCCCGAUAAGUCCGCUGUGAAAGUCCAGGGCUCAACCCUGGGAUGCCGGUGGAUACUGUCGGGCUCGAGUCCGGAAGAGGAGUGUGGAAUUCCUGGUGUGAGCGGUGAAAUGCGCAGAUAUCAGGAGGAACACCAAUUGCGAAGGCAGCUCGCUGGGACGUUACUGACGCUGAGACGCGAAAGCGUGGGAGCAA
RNAcentral lists this ribosomal RNA (248 nucleotides) under uncultured bacterium. Its description in RNAcentral is "partial 16S ribosomal RNA". It matches the Rfam family "Bacterial small subunit ribosomal RNA", at positions 524 to 771 of the family's 1533-position model. The record is from RNAcentral.